Molecule: ribosomal RNA, 359 nt
Filed under: uncultured bacterium
Lineage: Bacteria
Description: partial 16S ribosomal RNA
Source: RNAcentral
GCUGCCUCCCGUAGGAGUCUGGGCCGUGUCUCAGUCCCAGUGUGUCCGUCCGCCCUCUCAGGCCGGAUACUGAUCGUUGCCUUGGUGAGCCGUUACCUCACCAACUAGCUAAUCAGACGCGGGCCCCUCUUCAAGUGCCGGGUUCUUGCGAAUCCCCAGCUUUGAUCACCAUCCGUUCAAGGACAGGAUGUUAUGCGGUAUUAGCGUCCCUUUCGGAACGUUAUCCCCCGCUCGAAGGCAGGUCACCCACGCGUUACUCACCCGUUUGCCACUCUACUUGCCCCUUUCGGGGCUUUCGCGUUCGACUUGCAUGUGUUAGGCACGCCGCCAGCGUUGAUUCUGAGCCAGGAUCAAACUCU